RNAcentral lists this ribosomal RNA (253 nucleotides) under uncultured bacterium. RNAcentral describes it as "partial 16S ribosomal RNA". It matches the Rfam family "Bacterial small subunit ribosomal RNA", at positions 524 to 776 of the family's 1533-position model. The record is from RNAcentral.
UACAGAGGGUGCAAGCGUUAAUCGGAAUUACUGGGCGUAAAGCGCGCGUAGGUGGUUCGUUAAGUUGGAUGUGAAAUCCCCGGGCUCAACCUGGGAACUGCAUUCAAAACUGUCGAGCUAGAGUAUGGUAGAGGGUGGUGGAAUUUCCUGUGUAGCGGUGAAAUGCGUAGAUAUAGGAAGGAACACCAGUGGCGAAGGCGACCACCUGGACUGAUACUGACGCUGAGGCACGAAAGCGUGGGGAGCAAACAGG